This 700-nucleotide ribosomal RNA is filed under the name uncultured bacterium. RNAcentral's name for it is "bacterial SSU rRNA". It matches the Rfam family "Bacterial small subunit ribosomal RNA", at positions 8 to 754 of the family's 1533-position model. The record is from RNAcentral.
AGAGUUUGAUCAUGGCUCAGAACGAACGCUGGCGGCAUGCCUAACACAUGCAAGUCGAACGAAGGCUUCGGCCUUAGUGGCGCACGGGUGCGUAACGCGUGGGGAUCUGCCCUUUGCUUCGGAAUAACAGUUAGAAAUGACUGCUAAUACCGGAUGAUGUCGUAAGACCAAAGAUUUAUCGGCAAAGGAUGAACCCGCGUAGGAUUAGCUAGUUGGUGGGGUAAAGGCCUACCAAGGCGACGAUCCUUAGCUGGUCUGAGAGGAUGAUCAGCCACACUGGGACUGAGACACGGCCCAGACUCCUACGGGAGGCAGCAGUGGGGAAUAUUGGACAAUGGGCGAAAGCCUGAUCCAGCAAUGCCGCGUGAGUGAUGAAGGCCUUCGGGUUGUAAAGCUCUUUUACCAGGGAUGAUAAUGACAGUACCUGGAGAAUAAGCUCCGGCUAACUCCGUGCCAGCAGCCGCGGUAAUACGGAGGGAGCUAGCGUUGUUCGGAAUUACUGGGCGUAAAGCGCACGUAGGCGGCGACUCAAGUCAGAGGUGAAAGCCCGGGGCUCAACCCCGGAACUGCCUUUGAAACUAGGUUGCUAGAAUCUUGGAGAGGUCAGUGGAAUUCCGAGUGUAGAGGUGAAAUUCGUAGAUAUUCGGAAGAACACCAGUGGCGAAGGCGACUGACUGGACAAGUAUUGACGCUGAGGUGC